Molecule: ribosomal RNA, 347 nt
Filed under: uncultured bacterium
Lineage: Bacteria
Description: bacterial SSU rRNA
Rfam family: Bacterial small subunit ribosomal RNA
Source: RNAcentral
AGAGUUUGAUCAUGGCUCAGGAUGAACGCUAGCUACAGGCUUAACACAUGCAAGUCGAGGGGCAGCAUGUUGGUUGCUUGCAACCAAUGAUGGCGACCGGCGCACGGGUGAGUAACGCGUAUCCAACCUACCCUUGUCCAUCGGAUAACCCGUCGAAAGGCGGCCUAACACGAUAUGCGGUUCACAGCAGGCAUCUAAGGUGAACGAAAUGUGAAGGAGAAGGAUGGGGAUGCGUCUGAUUAGCUUGUUGGCGGGGUAACGCCACCAAGGCGACGAUCAGUAGGGGUUCGUGAGAGGAAGGUCCCCCNCAUUGGAACUGAGACACGGUCCAAACUCCUACGGAGGCA